Molecule: RNA transcript, 1336 nt
Organism: Drosophila obscura
Lineage: Eukaryota; Metazoa; Arthropoda; Insecta; Diptera; Drosophilidae
Gene name: transmembrane inner ear expressed protein
Exons: 4
Source: RefSeq, a predicted model, not a curated record
GCCCUCCCGAAGCACGCCAACCUCUAAAUGUCACAGUCAUUAGACUAAAUUCUGACGUCUCCGGAUCUCGCCCAUACCCCUGCAGCUACCAUCCCAGCGACCAAGGAUCCCAUCAAACUGGGUGUGACCAGCAGGUGGCCGCCUAACCGCCUAACUAACCAUAUACAUAUGCAUGUGUUCUUCGCCGAGCUCCAGCUUGUAUGCAGAGCAAAAAUUACUUUACUGUGUCGUGCUGUUGAGGCACGCGGAGCCGCACCCAGUUUCUUGGUCUCGAGUCGAGUUUGUUGUCAUUUUCGCUUUCAUAUCCAUAUCCACAGGCACAGCCACAUCCACCAAGGGAGGAGCUGCUAGUGAAAUAUCUAGCAUUACAUUUUACGUUUCAGCUUUCAUUUGUUGCGGCGUGAAGGGGACGGUUUCGGUUUCUUUGUUUGUUAUUUUACAAGUUUGCCAUUUUCCCCAUACAGGGUGAGUAUCCCACUCCCGUCCCACUUAUUUGAAUACCUUGCGUGGGCUCCAGGGAUCCAGCUCGUCUAGCUCUGUCCAUGGACAGCAGUCUGCACUGGAUAGGCAAAGCAGCCAGACGUACUCGGGAGUAGGAACGAACCACGAACCUGCCGCAGUUCAUAAAUCAGCCCAAAAAUGGAUGACAAUACAGACUUCCGUGACGUUUGGCUGGAGACGGUGACCAUUGGGGGGUUUCGUGUUUGGCACAUAAUAGCCGCUGUCCUGGGCAUACUAAUGGGAAUCAUGAUUAUGGUCUGCUGUUGCAUCCGAUUCCGCAUACCACGCACCAAGCAAGAGAUCGAGGCGGACUAUCAGCGCAAGCAAAUAACAAAGAAGUUCCGCGAGAAGCUCCAGCAAAUUAAAAACUCCGAAAUGGACGACAUGGACCUACAGAAGGCACUUGCUUACAUCAAACUGGAACAGUACGAUGAUCCCUAAGGGCUUGUAAAUUCACUAGCACACUGUACAAACUAUUGGAAGUACCUAAGAACUAGCCUCUGUAUCCCAAAGAACACUGCCAAUUUUGUGCUCGAAUUCAAAGCGAUUUCCUGAAUCUCCAGGCGAGCGUCGAGAGCAUGAACGAGAAGCAAAAUGUUAAGUUUAAGAUCUAGAUACGGAAGGAACUGUUAUACUGUUGUGUAACAGAAUAUAAUACAAAGUGUGUUGGUAUCCUAUACUAUACUCCUAGCAUGAUAAAAACUUAUAAACUAGAAAAGCAGUGGAUUUUCAUAUUGAAGAACAUUAAACGUACGAAUAUCGUCUAGUCUUAGCCAUUACACAUGUUUCUCCUAAUCCUGUUAUACGACUAUUCAAACAAUAAAACUCGGGGAUG